This 232-nucleotide ribosomal RNA is filed under the name uncultured bacterium. RNAcentral describes it as "partial 16S ribosomal RNA". It matches the Rfam family "Bacterial small subunit ribosomal RNA", at positions 118 to 347 of the family's 1533-position model. The record is from RNAcentral.
UGAGCAAUCUGCCCUUCUCAUCGGAAUAAGCGUUGGAAACGACGUCUAAUGCCGAAUACGACCUCCUUUCGCAUGAUCGGAGGUGGAAAGCUCCGGCGGAGAAGGAUGAGCUCGCGGCCUAUCAGCUAGUUGGUGUGGGUAAUGGCCCACCAAGGCGACGACGGGUAGCCGGCCUGAGAGGGCGUCCGGCCACACUGGGACUGAGACACGGCCCAGACUCCGUACGGGAGCA